CACUCAUGUCUUUUAAGGCAUCUCUACAAUGGAUUCUUGUCUAUGACAUGGAGCAAGUACAGGGGAUCUCACUCUCAUUUCAUGGAAUUAUACGUUGUCUCUCAUGUCUCUCUUAUCUCAGUGUAUCCAAGAACAAGAGAUAUUUUCUGGAUGUUUUCUGGGGUUCCAGAUAAAUUGAGGGAGGAAAUCUGGAUGGCAUGUGGGCCAAACCCGUACUCCAAGCUGUGCUGAACAGGCAGGCGGCAGCUGAAGCUGCUGGAGCUUGGUACCCAGAGGAACACAUGAAAACAAAUUUCUGGAAGAUGUACAUGAAGCUGCACCAGUGGAUGUUCAGGCUGGAUAUGAGGAAAGGCUCUUCACCAGAGGGCAGUGGGCAUGGAACAGGCUGUCCAAGGCAGCAGGUACCACCGUAAGUGUUGGAGUUCAAGAAGUGCUAGGACAGUGCUCUCUCAGACAUAAGCUUUGGAUUUUGGGUGGUGCUGUAUUGAGCCAGAAGUUGGGCUCAGUGUUACCUGUGGGUCCCUUACAACUCAGGAUACAUUGUUUUAUUCUGUACCUGUAGAAAUCCCUCUUGUCACCCUUCACAUUCCUGACCAGAUUAUUAUCCAGGUGGGCUUUGGUUUUCUUAACAUGGCAUACUCUUGCAGUGUCUGUGCUUCUCUUGGAUUAUAUGACUCUUCUUUGAUUUUUUAUUUUUUUUUUAAUACCCUGAGCAUAUAUGAGAAAGGGAGUUAUAUUGAAAUCUUCCAUAGCAUUCUGUGUGAUGAUCAUACUUGCUUAACUUUUUGAUGUGCAUCACUGCUAUGAGUAGAAAUGUUACCUUACAGAUUUCUGGGGGCAUUUGGUUUUAAAUAAGAUAAUUCUUGUAUCUCAUUUGUGUUAGAACACAUACUAGUGACUGAGCUCCAUAUUUACUCUGAGUGACAGUACACAUACGCAUUCAUUGACAAAGUUGUUUGCAUGACCCAAAGUAGGUAUCAUACAUCAUACAUUAGCUUUUUCAUUUCACCUUCACUCAGACUGGCUUUAUCUUUAGCUUGUUUUCAGUAAAAAUUAACCUGUCAUGUCCAGAAAGUUUGAAAUCUUCUUAAACCAUCUGUUCUUUCCUGACAAGGAUUGUAUGCCUAAUGCAAAUGUGUUAUUUAUUGUGCUAUUUCCCCUGCUCAUGCUCCUAUCUUUUCUGCUGCCUUUUAAAAUUCAUUAUUCUUUCCCUAUUUUCUAUUAAAAAUCCGUAUAGUACAGACAUAAUUUAUGGUACAUGCAUAUCAGAAUUUUAUUCCAGAUUUUGCAUGAUUAAUAAAAUUAAAAGCACGAAAAGCUGAUAAUUUCCC
This 1331-nucleotide long non-coding RNA is filed under the name Coturnix japonica (Japanese quail). RNAcentral describes it as "lncRNA (ENSCJPG00005015528.1)". The record is from RNAcentral. Lineage: Eukaryota; Metazoa; Chordata; Aves; Galliformes; Phasianidae.